This 985-nucleotide long non-coding RNA is filed under the name Polistes fuscatus (common paper wasp). RNAcentral's name for it is "uncharacterized LOC122513842". The record is from RNAcentral. Lineage: Eukaryota; Metazoa; Arthropoda; Insecta; Hymenoptera; Vespidae.
UUACAAAAAAAUAAAUAAUAAUUUACAAAAAAAAUUAAUAAUAAUGAAAUUUGAUUGACAACGGGAUGGCGGACAGAUGUUAAAGUAUCUCGUUAGGCUAUUACUAAAAGUUCUAUCUACUUUAAAGGCUGGCAGGGCAAGUAGGUAAAACCGAUGGAAAGAUUUCUAUAUAGGUCGUCGAUUGUAUUUGCCAUUAGCUCGUUCAUGCAACGAGAGGACACGAGAAAAUACAACGUUACAAAUAAUUUACGAUGAUAGUUGGAUAAGAAGCGUAUAAUUACUGAUAAGAUUAAUCUAAUCAAUUAAGAUUGCGAUUAGAAAAGUAUUUCUUUAUUUUAAGCAUUAACAUAACGACAUUAUUAUAAUAUCCUACAUCAUAAAGAUUUGUAAUCACGCGACAUGUUCAAAUUUUCUUAAGUUAACCACGAAUUAUCGAUCAUCUACGAAACCUAAGACAAAUAUCAUGAUUUUUUGUAUCCCAUGAGUCAUUGUCAGCAUGAUUCUCUCUUCAUCACCUAACGGUUCAUUUAUAUACGUAUGAGAGUGUAUUUUAUCGUUGGGACAGGCAAAGAAACGUGAAAGAGAUGAAAAGAUUCGAGGUGUUUGACCUUUCGAAUAAUACACGUAGAUUACUCUACUGACUAUUGCAACGAAAUUAUUUCCAAAGAUAAAUAUCCGUUAUGCCAUUAUUGUGCGCUGAAGGAGGAUACAAUUUUCUGAUGUAAAUUGUGUUAAAUGUUAAAACAAGAAGGAGGAGGAGCAGCAAAAAAAUAAAACAAGUAUUAACAAGCAUAAGGGCAACACGCAACGAUAAAAGGAAUCCUAAACCCCGGCCUGGUAUCGAUCGGCGGAUGCUUCGAAGCGAAGUGUACUCCUAUUUUCAGCACCGCAUUGCGGCAGAAGCGAGGUUAGCACGAUUCCAAUGAUGUCUUAUUAUACUUCUACUAUAUUCUUCAGUAUCUAAAAUAUGUACACGUUUGUACGA